This is a long non-coding RNA of Aedes aegypti (yellow fever mosquito), 624 nucleotides long. RefSeq lists it as uncharacterized. The record is from RefSeq and is a predicted model, not a curated record. The transcript is spliced from 2 exons. Lineage: Eukaryota; Metazoa; Arthropoda; Insecta; Diptera; Culicidae.
AUUACCCCCAGUUCCCCUAUUGGCGAACAUUGUCAAAUAACAAGUAGACGUUGUUUCUAUGAAUUUAAAAAUGGCGGACUGGGCAAUUUGACACAAUGGACUAUCUCCCUUCUCGAUACCUUGGGCAGCACAGUAGGUAUUUUUUUUUCUAAUGGAAUAGUAGGCAUACAUGUUUUUCAGAUCCAUGAAAGUCAGUCCAAAGUUAUUUUUCGGCCUUGACAGCAGCAAAAUUUUCGAGUGAAAUUGAAGAUUGAGAAAAAUUUGUUCUCGAUCAUUCUUCACCAGCUAGGGUCAAGAUCCCGAAGAACGAACAAUUUCAACAAUGCCGAAGAAUACCUGCAGCAAAUAUCUUUUCCCCUGUGGCCCAUUUGUCAAUCCGUGCUGCGUUCCGGCGAGUGGUCCCUGCUAUGGUCCCUCACUAGGAGUUUGUGCACCCUGCACUCCUUGUGGACCGUGUUCACCUUGUGGACCUUCUGGAGCUUGUGCACCAUGCAAUCCCGUUUGCGGUCCCUGUUGGGGCCCAAAUGGUCCCUGCGCCCGAAUUGAAUACUACGAUCGAUAAACAUCCCUUCCGAAUAUUAUUCGAAAAUUUUCAAUAAAUCACCUUUUUGGCAUUAAAAUCUA